This 467-nucleotide unclassified non-coding RNA is filed under the name Hevea brasiliensis (rubber tree). The record is from RNAcentral. Lineage: Eukaryota; Viridiplantae; Streptophyta; Magnoliopsida; Malpighiales; Euphorbiaceae.
GAACAAGAUAAGAAAAUAAUGGCGCAUUAUUUAAACAAUGGUUGAGCUACAUCUUCUGAUUUGUUAUGUUAUUAGCAAAAAACAUUAAUUGUCAUAGCUCUACAUCUAAUAUUUCAAAGUUCUUGUAUGAUCUAAUAUAAAAAAAAAAAAAAUGAUCACUGGAGUCGGUCAUAUGAUAACUGAUAUUUUAGGUUAUUAAAACCACGAUUGGAGCUACAUCUUGUGAUUGGUUAUUCAAUUACCAAGUAGUACCUGUUGUCAUUCAUGACUUCCUAUCCUAGGUUUUUAAUGUUAUUCUUUUAUGAUUUGAUAUUCAGAAGUAUCAUUGUUUAAAGUUAUGGAUGGCGAUCAUAGUUGUGUCGAGUGCAGGAGACUAGGUUUUUACUGAGAAAUGAUGCUGCUAAUUAUUACUGUUAAUUUUUAUCGUGAUUUUUUAAUGGUGGCAGCUACUUACAUAUGGUCGGAGA